CAGCCGCCGCGGGAAUACAGAGGGUGCAAGCGUUAAUCGGAAUUACUGGGCGUAAAGCGCGCGUAGGUGGUUUGUUAAGUUGGAUGUGAAAUCCCCGGGCUCAACCUGGGAACUGCAUCCAAAACUGGCAAGCUAGAGUAUGGUAGAGGGUGGUGGAAUUUCCUGUGUAGCGGUGAAAUGCGUAGAUAUAGGAAGGAACACCAGUGGCGAAGGCGACCACCUGGACUGAUACUGACACUGAGGUGCGAAAGCGUGGGGAGCAAACAGGAUUAGAUACCCCCGUAGUCCCUGUCUCUAUACA
This 301-nucleotide ribosomal RNA is filed under the name uncultured bacterium. RNAcentral describes it as "partial 16S ribosomal RNA". It matches the Rfam family "Bacterial small subunit ribosomal RNA", at positions 509 to 808 of the family's 1533-position model. The record is from RNAcentral.